CUGCUGCUGAAUAUGUCUGAAUAUGUCUGUAGUCCACCUGUGUCUGUUUUACUCAUCUGGUGCUGAUAACUCAGAGUCUGUUUUUGUUAUUUUCACCUGGAGUCACCUCCAAAUCCUGACCUGCUUCCGGUCUACAAAGAAUAAAUCACACAGAAAACCGAGAUUUAUGAGAAAUGGAAGGGAAAAGCGCUUUUUUGUUCUAAUUCCGAGGAGGCAAUGUGGUCAUUUUUCUUAUAUGGUUGAAGAAAAGCGGAGGAGGAGGCGGGUAGGUGGGUUGUUAGGUGAGGGAAGGGUGACGUCAGGUCCCAUCACGCUGACAGACCUCCUAUUGGUCCAGCGGAGGCUUUUAAAAGGUGCAGCCAGCAGCGCACCGGAGGCUUGAUCUCUGCGCUCAGGACGCGCCGCGGCUCUCCAUGCUCUCCAACCCGGAACGGAGCUCCGGACCGACCGGAGCCAGAUGUUGGUGAGGACGCGGCGCGGACAGGACCUUUCAUAUCAACAGGUCGACGCGCUAGAGAGAGACGGGAAAGCGUUUCCUCGUCCACCUGCACGCUGUGAGUAACUGUUAGCAUGUCGGCCAUCUGCCGCCUUGUCGUGGUUUUUUUUAAAUUCUCCACGCAUUGCAUUGUGAAGUGCUAGAAGUCAACCUACAUGUGUCUAUUUCUUUCCGAAUGUGAGACCUUCCUUUGCAAGUUUCCUCAAGUGUGAUGCCUGUUACGAGUCUGCAUGCAGGUGUGAAACCUGGCGUGCCCCGACUGCUUCAUUAGACGUACCACUUCGGCUGGUUUGUGUGAUUUUCCUCCUUUUUUUGUUUGCUGUUU
Long non-coding RNA from Xiphophorus couchianus (Monterrey platyfish), 821 nucleotides. RefSeq lists it as uncharacterized. The transcript has 3 exons. NCBI's taxonomy places the organism in Eukaryota, Metazoa, Chordata, Actinopteri, Cyprinodontiformes, Poeciliidae. The record is from RefSeq and is a predicted model, not a curated record.